RNAcentral lists this ribosomal RNA (847 nucleotides) under Rhagoletis zoqui. Its description in RNAcentral is "partial 16S ribosomal RNA". The record is from RNAcentral. Lineage: Eukaryota; Metazoa; Arthropoda; Insecta; Diptera; Tephritidae.
GUUUUUUUAGAAAUAAAUUUAAUUUACAAAUUUUUAAUUUUUUAUUUAUUUAUUUAAUUAAAAAAAUUAUUAAUUUGAAUAUUUUAAGGGAUAAGCUUUAAAAUAAAUUAUUAAAAAUUAAUAAAUUAAAUAUAAAAUGUAUGAAUAGAAUUUUCAAUCAUUUAUGAGUUUGUUAUAAAUUAUUUUAUAACUUAUAUUAUUUAUUAUAAUUUUAAAUUUUUAUAAAAAUUUUUUCAUAAAUUUUUUAUGAAAAUAAAUAAUGAUGAAAUUAGUAUAUUAAUAUUGUAUAUAUAAUUUUAUAUGACAAGUUUAUAUAAAGAACUCGGCAAAUUUAUAUACUCGCCUGUUUAACAAAAACAUGUCUUUUUGAGUUAUUUUUAAAGUCUGACCUGCCCACUGAAUAAAUUUAAAUGGCCGCAGUAUUUUAACUGUGCAAAGGUAGCAUAAUCAUUAGUUUUUUAAUUGAAGGCUGGUAUGAAUGGUUGGACGAAGUAUAAACUGUUUCAUGUAAAUUUAUUAUAGAAUUUUAUAUUUUAGUUAAAAAGCUAAAAUUUAAUUAAAAGACGAGAAGACCCUAUAAAUCUUUAUAUUUAUUAUUAUUUUAAUUUUUUAGACAUAUUUUAUUUUAAUAAUAUAAAAUAUUUUGUUGGGGUGAUGUUAAAAUUUAAUAAACUUUUAAUUAUUAAAAUCAUUAAUUUAUGAUUUAUUGAUCCGUUAAUAACGAUUAUAAGAUUAAGUUACUUUAGGGAUAACAGCGUAAUUUUUUUGGAGAGUUCUUAUCGAUAAAAAAGUUUGCGACCUCGAUGUUGGAUUAAGAUAUAUUUUUAGGUGUAGCCGCUUAAAUAUU